This 62-nucleotide transfer RNA is filed under the name Monodelphis domestica (gray short-tailed opossum). It matches the Rfam family "tRNA", at positions 6 to 65 of the family's 71-position model. Rfam says of the family: Transfer RNA (tRNA) molecules are approximately 80 nucleotides in length. The record is from Rfam by way of RNAcentral. Lineage: Eukaryota; Metazoa; Chordata; Mammalia; Didelphimorphia; Didelphidae.
UUUGGUGCUAUAGGCAGCACAUCAGUCUUGCAAGCUGAAGGUCCCGAGUUUGAUCCUCAGAA